RNAcentral lists this ribosomal RNA (389 nucleotides) under Yarrowia lipolytica. RNAcentral describes it as "partial 28S ribosomal RNA". It matches the Rfam family "Eukaryotic large subunit ribosomal RNA", at positions 101 to 507 of the family's 3401-position model. Lineage: Eukaryota; Fungi; Ascomycota; Dipodascomycetes; Dipodascales. The record is from RNAcentral.
GGCAAAGCUCAAAUUUGAAACCUUCGGGAUUGUAAUUUGAAGAUAAGGUAUUGGAGAAAGCUAACCCAAGUUGCUUGGAAUAGUACGUCAUAGAGGGUGACAACCCCGUCUGGCUAACCGUUCUCCAUGUAUUGCCUUAUCAAAGAGUCGAGUUGUUUGGGAAUGCAGCUCAAAGUGGGUGGUAAACUCCAUCUAAAGCUAAAUACUGGUGAGAGACCGAUAGCGAACAAGUACUGUGAAGGAAAGGUGAAAAGAACUUUGAAAAGAGAGUGAAAUAGUAUGUGAAAUUGUUGAUAGGGAAGGAAAUGAGUGGAGAGUGGUUGAGGUUUCAGCUUACCUUUGGGUAGGUGUAUUGCCAACGCCGAGUCAUUGACAGCGAGACGGCGGUU